GAGUAACGCGUAUGCAACCUACCUAUCAGAGGGGAAUAACCCGGCGAAAGUCGGACUAAUACCGCAUAAAACAGGGGCACCGCAUGGUGAUAUUUGUUAAAGAAAUUCGCUGAUAGAUGGGCAUGCGUUCCAUUAGGUAGUUGGUGAGGUAACGGCUCACCAAGCCGACGAUGGAUAGGGGAACUGAGAGGUUGGUCCCCCACACUGGUACUGAGACACGGACCAGACUCCUACGGGAGGCAGCAGUGAGGAAUAUUGGUCAAUGGGCGGGAGCCUGAACCAGCCAAGUCGCGUGAAAAGGGAAGAAGGAUCUAUGGUUCGUAAACUUCUCUUGCAGGGGAAUAAAGUGCAGGACGUGUCCUGUUUUGUAUGUACCCUGAGAAUAAGGAUCGGCUAACUCCGUGCCAGCCGCCGC
This 415-nucleotide ribosomal RNA is filed under the name uncultured bacterium. RNAcentral describes it as "bacterial SSU rRNA". It matches the Rfam family "Bacterial small subunit ribosomal RNA", at positions 108 to 518 of the family's 1533-position model. The record is from RNAcentral.